Molecule: ribosomal RNA, 460 nt
Filed under: uncultured bacterium
Lineage: Bacteria
Description: partial 16S ribosomal RNA
Rfam family: Bacterial small subunit ribosomal RNA
Source: RNAcentral
CCUACGGGAGGCAGCAGUGAGGAAUAUUGGUCAAUGGACGCAAGUCUGAACCAGCCAUGCCGCGUGCAGGAAGACGGCUCUAUGAGUUGUAAACUGCUUUUGUACGAGGGUAAACGCAGAUACGCGUAUCUGUCUGAAAGUAUCGUACGACUAAGGAUCGGCUAACUCCGUGCCAGCAGCCGCGGUAAUACGGAGGAUUCAAGCGUUAUCCGGAUUUAUUGGGUUUAAAGGGUGCGUAGGCGGUCGGAUAAGUUAGAGGUUAAAUCCCGAGGCUCAACUUCGGAAUUGCCUCUGAUACUGUUCGGCUAGAGAGUAGUUGCGGUAGGCGGAAUGUAUGGUGUAGCGGUGAAAUGCUUAGAGAUCAUACAGAACACCGAUUGCGAAGGCAGCUUACCAAGCUACUUCUGACGUUGAGGCACGAAAGCGUGGGGAGCAAACAGGAUUAGAUACCCGGGUAGUC